UUGCACGCUGGCGGCAGGCCUAACACAUGCAAGUCGAACGGUAACAGGAAGAAGCUUGCUUCUUUGCUGACGAGUGGCGGACGGGUGAGUAAUGUCUGGGAAACUGCCUGAUGGAGGGGGAUAACUACUGGAAACGGUAGCUAAUACCGCAUAACGUCGCAAGACCAAAAAGGGGGACCUUCGGGCCUCUUGCCAUCGGAUGUGCCCAGAUGGGAUUAGCUAGUAGGUGGGGUAACGGCUCACCUAGGCGACGAUCCCUAGCUGGUCUGAGAGGAUGACCAGCCACACUGGAACUGAGACACGGUCCAGACUCCUACGGGAGGCAGCAGUGGGGAAUAUUGCACAAUGGGCGCAAGCCUGAUGCAGCCAUGCCGCGUGUAUGAAGAAGGCCUUCGGGUUGUAAAGUACUUUCAGCGGGGAGGAAGGGAGUAAAGUUAAUACCUUUGCUCAUUGACGUUACCCGCAGAAGAAGCACCGGCUAACUCCGUG
This 489-nucleotide ribosomal RNA is filed under the name uncultured bacterium. Its description in RNAcentral is "partial 16S ribosomal RNA". It matches the Rfam family "Bacterial small subunit ribosomal RNA", at positions 30 to 507 of the family's 1533-position model. The record is from RNAcentral.